Molecule: ribosomal RNA, 391 nt
Filed under: Rhizosolenia sp.
Lineage: Eukaryota; Bacillariophyta; Coscinodiscophyceae; Rhizosoleniales; Rhizosoleniaceae
Description: partial small subunit ribosomal RNA
Rfam family: Eukaryotic small subunit ribosomal RNA
Source: RNAcentral
AUUCCAGCUCCAAUAGUGUAUAUUAAAGUUGUUGCAGUUAAAAAGCUCGUAGUUGGAUUUCUGGCGGGAGCGAUCGGUCCUUCACUCAGUGUUGGAACCUGAUUGUCUCCUGCCAUCCAUGGAGAAAACUUAUCUGGCAUUAAGUUGUCGGGUAGGCAAUCUCCAUCUUUUACUGUGAAAAAAUUAGAGUGUUCAAAGCAGGCUUAUGCCGUUGAAUAUAUUAGCAUGGAAUAAUAAGAUAGGACUAUGGUACCAUUUUGUUGGUUUGUGCACCAUGGUAAUGAUUAAUAGGGACAGUUGGGGGUAUUCGUAUUCCAUUGUCAGAGGUGAAAUUCUUGGAUUUAUGGAAGACGAACUACUGCGAAAGCAUUUACCAAGGAUGUUUUCAUUG